UUGGAAGAGAGAUCGAGUGAAUUAAGAGACGUGAAAUUGAUGAACUUUAUGGAGGAGAUAUGUAUAUCACACGAGGCCAAGUUCAGUGUAAGCAAUGAAGUUAACGUGUUAACCGAAUGGAACCAAUCAAUAUGGUUACCGAUUGUUAUUCCUGAGAGAUCCAAGUGCUUUAACGACGACAACAAGGACACCCACUGCAGAUCAUCCUUGACCAUCAAAGAAACGUCAUAACGGAGAGCUACCAUGGCGUACCUAUGAUUAAGAUCAAGAUAUUGUAACCUUGAAAGAUUUCCUAGAUGAGGGGGGACUACACCACUGAAACCUGAGUAAGAGAGGUUCAAGUAUUCCAAAUACUUGAACGACCCGAAGAAUCCAGGAAUAUUUUGUCCUGAGAAGUUGUUCAUGCUCAGGUCCAAGUAACGCAGAUACUUCAAGUCGAGUAAUGAAGGACUUACCUUACCUUUGAGCCAACUACUUGUGUUUAAAACAUAGUCAGAGUCGCCAGUGAAAGACAAUAGAGAUCGAAGAUCAAGUUUGACAACAUGACCAUUUCUCAUGUCACACCUAAUUCCCUGCCACUCACAACAUUCUACUCCUGUCCAUGUUGCCAGCCUAUUUGAUUCGUCUGUGAGACCUUUUCUGAAUGCAAGCAGUAAUUGUCGCUCUCUUUGGAUACAUGUAACGUUUGAGGAAGUCGUGAUCAUGAUAUUGCUGCUGCUUGCGCCAUAUGUUUGAAUGAAUAGAAAUGAUGCAAAAAUGAGAAGAAAGGUGUUUUCCAUUUUGGAGUAAUUAAGAUAGAGUACGCGUUGUGUAAUUCGUAAGUAGGGGGAAUGGGGUGCAUAUAUAAUAAGGCAUGCCUUAAAAUCUUUUAUGAACGUAUACUUAGGUUGUGAUAUCGACUUGAGUCCACAAGACAUUCGAUAGUAGACCUGGAGUUAUGACCUGUUCAAAGUCUUCAAAGAGAUAGUGGCCACAUGCAGAAAAAGCUUAUUUGGGUCCAUAACGUGUUACUCAUAUUAUCGUCAUCCAACGACACUUGUUGUUUGGACUGUUUUGCAAAACUUGUUUGUAUUCAUGAAUCGCACAAUUCUUGUGAUCAGGAAUUUAACGGUAGACUUGGAGUCAUAAAUCAUUCAAAGUCUUUCAAGAGCCGGUGGCCAAAAAUACUUAUCAACUUGUUUGGGUCAUAAUAAGAUGUUAAUAUCAGUCAACAGUUGUCGACGGUAGUGUGAAACACGUAAACUCUCCUAUCAAAGUAGGAUGUGUCUUUUAGAGUUCUGGGUGGUUUUCUACAAGUUCUAUUUUGGCUUGCUAAAUGUCCCUGCAUUUGUCCUUUGAUUUUAUAAAGAGGACGGCAGAUUUGAUUCAGUUGCAGGUCUAAGGUCUCAUAUAUUGAGUUGUCCUAACAUAUUUUUCCUUUGUGCAGAUGCUUUUACUUAAUGAUCAUCUUUCACGAGUGUUCAAAUUUGAUCAACUCUAAUCUUGCUAAUUAUUAUUUACAUAAUGGUCAUAUUAUGUAGCAUGUAUUCAAGAGCAUCAGGAUUGUUUAUUUAGUGACACUGCUGUAUUUCGAUUAAAUACAACUCGAGGGGCAACAACCUAAAAAUAAUACGAAGAUGACAGGAAAAGUGGUUUCCAUUUUAUAGUGAUUAAGAUACAUUACACGUAUAAUUCAGAAGCAGAGGAAUGGGGCACAUUUGUCAUACAGUAAGCCUUAUAAUCUUUUGUGAACUUAUAAUUAGGUUGAUGUGGACGUGAGUCGACAAGACGUUGGAUAGUAGACUUGGAGCUAUGAAUCGUUCAAAGUCUUUCAAGAGAUAGUGUCCACAUACAGAAAAAGCUUGUUUGGGUCCAUAACGUGUUACUGGUAUAUAUUGUCAUCGAACGACGCUUGUUGAUUGGAGUGUUUUGCAAAAACUUGUUUGUAUUCAUGAAUCACAUAAUAGUCAUGAUAAAGAACUUAAUAGUAGACUUGGAGUCCUGAAUCAUUCCAAGUCUUUCAAGAGCCGGUGGCCACAUACAUAUCAACUUGUUGUAUUUUGGCUGACAAACACAAGGACGGUAGAUUUGAUUGAGUUGCAGGUCUAAGAUCUAAUGUACUGAGUUGAAACUAACAUAUUUGCUUAUAAUUACUUUACUUGAUGGGUCAUAUUUGUACCAUGUAUUCAAGCCUAUCAGGUUUGUAGUUGGUGACAUUGUUGUCUUUAGAUUAAUACAAUGACGCAUAUAAAUAGAUGUGUUUGAGUA
Molecule: long non-coding RNA, 2247 nt
Organism: Erigeron canadensis
Lineage: Eukaryota; Viridiplantae; Streptophyta; Magnoliopsida; Asterales; Asteraceae
Exons: 2
Source: RefSeq, a predicted model, not a curated record